RNAcentral lists this small RNA (402 nucleotides) under Histoplasma ohiense. Its description in RNAcentral is "hypothetical lncRNA". Lineage: Eukaryota; Fungi; Ascomycota; Eurotiomycetes; Onygenales; Ajellomycetaceae. The record is from RNAcentral.
ACCAUGGACUAUAACAGCUGAGCUCUUCAGUUUUUGGUUGUAACUUUGAGAUGCUUACCGUGAAUGAGCGAGUUCGAAUCAAGAACCACGACCUCUUCUCGAACAUGCAUAGGAGAGGGUCAGAAAUUGCCAUCCGUGCUAUGGACUGAAUGAUUUCCCUUCGGUUACUCAAUGGCUUGCAGCUCCACAAAACCAAACCCGCUUAAAUAUUAACGAUAGCAGGAAUGAAAUCAAACGCUCUCUGUUAUCUUCUUCUUCAUGGCAAUGGAUCACCCGAACCCAAUUAUUCUCAACUUCUGUUCUACUGGCGCUGUACGCAACCAACCACCAACUAUCAGUUCUAUUUCCGUGUCUUUUUAAUCUUCCAGCAAUGGCUCCUUAGAACAAAAUUUUCAUAGGCAA